This 512-nucleotide ribosomal RNA is filed under the name uncultured bacterium. Its description in RNAcentral is "bacterial SSU rRNA". It matches the Rfam family "Bacterial small subunit ribosomal RNA", at positions 15 to 518 of the family's 1533-position model. The record is from RNAcentral.
GAUCCUGGCUCAGAACGAACGCUGGCGGCGCGUUUAAGCAUGCAAGUCGAGCGGCAAGGGCCUUCGGGCCCCUAGAGCGGCGGACGGGUGAGUAACACGUGGACAAUCUGCCCCCCGGCCCGAGAUAGCCCAGGGAAACCUGGAUUAAUACCGGAUGAGACGGGACCCGCGAUGGCGGGACCCGGGAAAGGCGCUGCGGCGCCGCCGGGGGAUGAGUCUGCGUCCCAUUAGCUAGACGGCGGGGUAACGGCCCACCGUGGCGACGAUGGGUAGCCGGCCUGAGAGGGUGGACGGCCACAUUGGAACUGAGACACGGUCCAGACUCCUACGGGAGGCAGCAGCUAAGAAUCUUCCGCAAUGGGCGAAAGCCUGACGGAAGCGACGCCGCGUGAACGAAGAAGGCCGUGAGGUUGUAAAGUUCUUUUCGGGAGGGGAACAACCGUGGCAGGGAAUGGCCGCGGGAUGACGUGAAUCCCGGAAUAAGCCCCGGCUAACUACGUGCCAGCCGCCGC